AGAACGAACGCUGGCGGCAUGCCUAACACAUGCAAGUCGAACGCUUCCGGGGCUUCGGUCGCGGAGGAGUGGCGCACGGGUGAGUAGCGCGUGGGAACCUGCCCUGUUGUGGGGGAUAACCGAGGGAAACUUCGGCUAAUACCGCAUACGCCCCGGGACUUGGUCUUCGGAUUAGGUCUGGGGGGAAAGAUUGAUCGCAGCAGGAGGGGCCCGCGUCGGAUUAGCUGGUUGGUGGGGUAACGGCUCACCAAGGCGAUGAUCCGUAGCUGGUCUGAGAGGAUGAUCAGCCACACUGGGACUGAGACACGGCCCAGACUCCUACGGGAGGCAGCAGUGGGGAAUAUUGGACAAUGGGGGCAACCCUGAUCCAGCAAUGCCGCGUGAGUGAUGAAGGCCUUAGGGUUGUAAAGCUCUUUCGCCCGCGACGAUGAUGACGGUAGCGGAGAAGAGCCCGGCUAACUUCGUGCCAGCAGCCGCGGU
Molecule: ribosomal RNA, 480 nt
Filed under: uncultured bacterium
Lineage: Bacteria
Description: SSU rRNA
Rfam family: Bacterial small subunit ribosomal RNA
Source: RNAcentral